Molecule: ribosomal RNA, 253 nt
Filed under: uncultured bacterium
Lineage: Bacteria
Description: partial 16S ribosomal RNA
Rfam family: Bacterial small subunit ribosomal RNA
Source: RNAcentral
UACGGGGGGUGCAAGCGUUAAUCGGAAUAACUGGGCGUAAAGCGCACGCAGGCGGAUUAUUAAGUUAGAUGUGAAAUCCCCGGGCUUAACCUGGGAAUGGCAUCUCAGACUGGGUAGCUAGAGUAUUGUAGGGGGGGGUAGAAUUCCACGUGUAGCGGUGAAAUGCGUAGAGAUGUGGAGGAAUACCGGAGGCGAAGGCAGCCCCCUGGACAUGGACUGACGCUCAGGUGCGAAAGCGUGGGGAGCAAACAGG